RNAcentral lists this non-coding RNA (111 nucleotides) under Shouchella lehensis G1. RNAcentral describes it as "Bacillus lehensis G1 TPP riboswitch aptamer (THI element)". It matches the Rfam family "TPP riboswitch aptamer (THI element)". Rfam says of the family: Vitamin B(1) in its active form thiamin pyrophosphate (TPP) is an essential coenzyme that is synthesised by coupling of pyrimidine and thiazole moieties in bacteria. The previously detected thiamin-regulatory element, thi box was extended, resulting in a new, highly conserved RNA secondary structure, the THI element, which is widely distributed in eubacteria and also occurs in some archaea. The record is from Rfam by way of RNAcentral. Lineage: Bacteria; Bacillati; Bacillota; Bacilli; Caryophanales; Bacillaceae.
AGCAAAGGCUAGGGGUGCCCGAUGAAGUUGGGCUGAGAAUAAGAACGUAUUUCUUUUACUCUUUAACCUGAUCUGGAUCACACCAGCGGAGGGAAGUCGGCAUACACAGAG